Molecule: ribosomal RNA, 36 nt
Filed under: Phaeomyces sp. 'kuwaitiensis'
Lineage: Eukaryota; Fungi; Ascomycota
Description: Phaeomyces kuwaitiensis 26S ribosomal RNA
Source: RNAcentral
ACCUCGGAUCAGGUAGGGAUACCCGCUGAACUUAAG